Molecule: ribosomal RNA, 497 nt
Filed under: uncultured bacterium
Lineage: Bacteria
Description: partial 16S ribosomal RNA
Rfam family: Bacterial small subunit ribosomal RNA
Source: RNAcentral
GAUGAACGCUGGCGGCGUGCCUAAUACAUGCAAGUCGAGCGAACGGACGAGAAGCUUGCUUCUCUGAUGUUAGCGGCGGACGGGUAAGUAACACGUGGAUAACCUACCUAUAAGACUGGGAUAACUUCGGGAAACCGUAGCUAAUACCGGAUAAUAUUUUGAACCGCAUGGUUCAAUAGUGAAAGACGGUCUUGCUGUCACUUAUAGAUGGAUCCGCGCUGCAUUAGCUAGUUGGUAAGGUAACGGCUUACCAAGGCAACGAUGCAUAGCCGACCUGAGAGGGUGAUCGGCCACACUGGAACUGAGACACGGUCCAGACUCCUACGGGAGGCAGCAGUAGGGAAUCUUCCGCAAUGGGCGAAAGCCUGACGGAGCAACGCCGCGUGAGUGAUGAAGGUCUUCGGAUCGUAAAACUCUGUUAUUAGGGAAGAACAUAUGUGUAAGUAACUGUGCACAUCUUGACGGUACCUAAUCAGAAAGCCACGGCUAACUACGUG